RNAcentral lists this long non-coding RNA (617 nucleotides) under Homo sapiens (human). Its description in RNAcentral is "HSALNT0386872". The record is from RNAcentral. Lineage: Eukaryota; Metazoa; Chordata; Mammalia; Primates; Hominidae.
GACAAACUAGAGAGAACUGCAAGGACUCAGUACAUCCCUGGCACAGUCCAUUCUCUCUCACAGCAUAUUGUAUGAGACUGUGUGAGUGCUGCUUCCACGCUACACUAAAAACCCAUGGUCCCUGCAUUAUUUGAGCAACUGACAAGCUUCUGAAGUUCAGGUUCGCGAACGCUGAGAGCAGCACCCAGUGGAUUUGUGGCAGAUGCCCAAAGCAAAAAGAGUGAAGCAGUCAGAAUUUCAGACACUGUGAACAACUCCCCUUGGGGUACCUCUGGGGCUGGCGUCUUUACAUCACGACGACAGAAAGCUGGCCCGCACAGACUAUGGCCACGGCGUCUUAGAGGUUUUGUUUCUCUGCAGGCGUCCAGUGCUCUGUUUCUUUCCCUCCUCACCACUCUCCAAACCACACUCACACAAAUACACGUCCCUAUGUGCAAAGACGCGCAUAUGUAUAUUGUAUAUCAGUGUGACACUCACACAUACGUGCGGUGUUAGCAUAGCCUUUCCCCCUCGAGUCCCUGUUGUGCUUCCCAGCACCCAGCAUCCUCCAAAGCAGGCAGUGGCACACUAUCACUCAUAAACUAAAUCCAGCCACUGCCUGCUUUGUAAAUAAAGUU